AUUGAACGCUGGCGGCAGGCUUAACACAUGCCAGUCGAGCGAGAGGCGGACGGGAGAGUAAUGUAUGGGGACUGCCCGUGAGAGGGGGAUAACGACGGGAAACGGUAGCUAAGACCGCAUACUUUCGGCUAACACAUAUGGGAUUAGCUAGUAGGCGAGGUAAUGGCCCACCUAGGCGCCGCACCCUAGCGGGUCUGAGAGGAUGAUCAGCCACACUGGGACUAGGACACGGCCCAGACGCCUACGGAGGCAGCAGUGGGGAAUAUUGCACAUAGGGCGCAAGCCUGAUGCAGCCAUGCCGCGUAUAUGAAGAAGGCCCUAGGGUUGUAAGGUACUUUCAGUCGGUGGGCGUUACCGACAGAAGAAGCACCGGCUAACUCCGUGCCAGCAGCCGCGGUAAUAC
This 403-nucleotide ribosomal RNA is filed under the name uncultured bacterium. RNAcentral's name for it is "partial 16S ribosomal RNA". It matches the Rfam family "Bacterial small subunit ribosomal RNA", at positions 29 to 526 of the family's 1533-position model. The record is from RNAcentral.